RNAcentral lists this ribosomal RNA (253 nucleotides) under uncultured bacterium. RNAcentral describes it as "partial 16S ribosomal RNA". It matches the Rfam family "Bacterial small subunit ribosomal RNA", at positions 524 to 776 of the family's 1533-position model. The record is from RNAcentral.
UACAGAGGGGGCAAGCGUUGUUCGGAAUUACUGGGCGUAAAGGGCGCGUAGGCGGCCUGUUAAGUCGAACGUGAAAUCCCUGGGCUCAACCCAGGAACUGCGUCCGAUACUGGCAGGCUUGAAUUCGGGAGAGGGAUGCGGAAUUCCGGGUGUAGCGGUGAAAUGCGUAGAUAUCUGGAGGAACACCGGUGGCGAAGGCGGCAUCCUGGACCGAUAUUGACGCUGAGGCGCGAAAGCCAGGGGAGCAAACGGG